CCGCGCCGCCAGCGGCGCUCGCAAAGUUCGGAUCCGCAAGGACCGGGCCAGCGGGACGUCCGCGUGGCAGGGUGCACUUUCUCCGCGGUCGAGUGCUACGACCGGUUUCGAGGCGGUCAGAAGCCCGGCGGAAAGGUAGCGCCGCCCCUCGGGGUGUCGUGUUAUAGGCCGCCGCGGUGGACUCGCCGCGAGACCGAGGACGCUUGCCGCGCCGAGCGGUCCCGGGCCGUCUUGGGAGGUUCGACCUCGGCUGCACUGCUCCGCAGAGCACCGUAACCGCCGCCCUAGCACGGGUCCGGAGACUGCCGGCGCCUCGGGUCAGUAGCG
Molecule: ribosomal RNA, 327 nt
Filed under: Corbicula sp. LB44b
Lineage: Eukaryota; Metazoa; Mollusca; Bivalvia; Venerida; Cyrenidae
Description: partial 28S ribosomal RNA
Source: RNAcentral